GGUGAACGCUGGCGGCGUGCCUAAUACAUGCAAGUCGAGCGAACAGACGAGGAGCUUGCUCCUCUGACGUUAGCGGCGGACGGGUGAGUAACACGUGGAUAACCUACCUAUAAGACUGGGAUAACUUCGGGAAACCGGAGCUAAUACCGGAUAAUAUAUUGAACCGCAUGGUUCAAUAGUGAAAGACGGUUUUGCUGUCACUUAUAGAUGGAUCCGCGCCGCAUUAGCUAGUUGGUAAGGUAACGGCUUACCAAGGCAACGAUGCGUAGCCGACCUGAGAGGGUGAUCGGCCACACUGGAACUGAGACACGGUCCAGACUCCUACGGGAGGCAGCAGUAGGGAAUCUUCCGCAAUGGGCGAAAGCUUGACGGGGCAACGCCGCGUGAGUGAUGAAGGUCUUCGGAUCGUAAAACUCUGUUAUUAGGGAAGAACAAAUGUGUAAGUAACUAUGCACGUCUUGACGGUACCUAAUCAGAAAGCCACGGCUAACUACGUG
RNAcentral lists this ribosomal RNA (497 nucleotides) under uncultured bacterium. Its description in RNAcentral is "partial 16S ribosomal RNA". It matches the Rfam family "Bacterial small subunit ribosomal RNA", at positions 28 to 507 of the family's 1533-position model. The record is from RNAcentral.